UGCAAGGAUGUAGUUAAGACCUUUGUUUUCAGUUGUCGAAGGCAGGAUUUCUGGAACAUACUGAUGUAUUUAUUCUUCCUAUAAACAGAUGCUGAAGAAUCACUCAUUAAUAGUCCAGGGGACUGGCCGGAGCUGCGGCUGGUGGGCGGCUCAGGUCGAUGCUCAGGACGCGUCGAGGUCCUCUACCAGGGGGUCUGGGGCACCGUGUGUGAUGACCUCUGGGACCGACACGAAGCCGAGGUCGUGUGCCGACAGCUGGGGUGUGGACGAGCCGUGUCUGCCCUGGGGAAGGCCCACUUCGGCCCGGGCUCUGGAAAUAUCUUCCUGGACAACCUGCAGUGCUUGGGGAUGGAGCACUACCUGGGCCAGUGUGCCCACUCAGGCUGGUCGGAGCACAACUGCGACCACCAUGAAGAUGCCGGAGUCAUCUGCUCAGGUAGCCUCUUCCCUCUUGGGCAAUAAUUUCUAAUAUUGUGAUUGAAGAUAUUUUGAAAGUAUUCAUCCCACAUGGAAUGUAUCCAUCCGCCCAUUCACUCCUUCUUUCAUAAAAUAGUCCUUGAGCAUCUGCUCUGCACCAAGCCUGGGACACAGACACCCACCCUUGGGUAGCACGAGGUUGCACACAGGAGAUCUUGCAGGUUCAUGUACACCAGCACCGCCCGAGGCAUUACAAUGUGGAAUCCAGGGCCCUGGCCCCAGAGACCACAACUAACUAGCUUGGGCAGGGCUGCUGGAAUCUGCAUUUUCACGAGUAGUCUGGGUGAUUCAGCAAAAGAGGGGCCAUAAGUAAUCCUUCACUGCCUGCCAUGAGGCAGAGAUGACACUGCUGCUGUGCCCUGCCCCCAAGCCCAGGGACCCUGCAAGAGGAAGGCAGAGGAGGGCUGAGUCCUUUCUCCUCACUCCCCACCUGCCCCUUCUCCCCUCCAUCUGCCACCUGCACCCUCGUUACCUGGCCCCCUCCAUGCUUUGGGUUCACUAAAGAGAGUAACCUAUUGCCUUUCUUUAUGCAUUCAGAUGCAGAAGAACUGCCUCCUCCCACACCUCAAGGUAUGUCCACAUUUUGUUCUAGUCCAGACAACUUUCU
Molecule: long non-coding RNA, 1084 nt
Filed under: Canis lupus familiaris (dog)
Lineage: Eukaryota; Metazoa; Chordata; Mammalia; Carnivora; Canidae
Description: lncRNA (ENSCAFG00040019425.1)
Source: RNAcentral